CACUGGUACUCGAGUGGCGAACGGGUGAGUAACACGUGGGUGAUCCGCCUUGCACUCUGGGAUAAGCUUGGGAAACUGGGUCUAAUACCGGAUAGGAACCGUCUUUAGUGUGGUGGUUGGAAAGUUUUUUCGGUGCAAGAUGAGCUCGCGGCCUAUCAGCUUGUUGGUGGGGUAAUGGCCUACCAAGGCGUCGACGGGUAGCCGGCCUGAGAGGGUGUACGGCCACAUUGGGACUGAGAUACGGCCCAG
This 249-nucleotide ribosomal RNA is filed under the name uncultured Actinomycetales bacterium. RNAcentral describes it as "partial 16S ribosomal RNA". It matches the Rfam family "Bacterial small subunit ribosomal RNA", at positions 81 to 334 of the family's 1533-position model. The record is from RNAcentral. Lineage: Bacteria; Bacillati; Actinomycetota; Actinomycetes; Actinomycetales.